GGCUGGUCCAAGUGCAGUAGUGUUUACAACUAACUGAUUGCAAAUAGUUACAGGUUUCUUUGUUCCUUCUCCACUCCCACUGCUUCACUUAACUACCCUUAAACAAAGUUAU
RNAcentral lists this Y RNA (112 nucleotides) under Pongo abelii (Sumatran orangutan). It matches the Rfam family "Y RNA". Rfam says of the family: Y RNAs are components of the Ro ribonucleoprotein particle (Ro RNP), in association with Ro60 and La proteins. The Y RNAs and Ro60 and La proteins are well conserved, but the function of the Ro RNP is not known. Lineage: Eukaryota; Metazoa; Chordata; Mammalia; Primates; Hominidae. The record is from RNAcentral.